Molecule: ribosomal RNA, 775 nt
Filed under: uncultured Neocallimastigales
Lineage: Eukaryota; Fungi; Neocallimastigomycota; Neocallimastigomycetes; Neocallimastigales
Description: partial large subunit ribosomal RNA
Rfam family: Eukaryotic large subunit ribosomal RNA
Source: RNAcentral
UAUCAGUCAUGCAUAGCAUAUCAAUAAGCGGAGGAAAAGAAACUAACAAGGAUUCCCUUAGUAACGGCGAGUGAAGCGGGAAGAGCUCAAAUUUGAAAUCUUCAAGGUUUUACCUUGACGAAUUGUAGUUUAAAGAAGUGUUUUCUGUUGAAGUUUUGGUAAAAGUUCUUUGGAAUAGGACAUCAUAGAGGGUGAGAAUCCCGUAUUUGACCAUUACUUUCAGGCUUUGUGAUACACUUUCAAAGAGUCGGAUUGUUUGGGAAUGCAGUCCAAAAUGGGUGGUAAGUUUCAUCUAAAGCUAAAUAUUGGCGAGAGACCGAUAGCGAACAAGUACCGUGAGGGAAAGAUGAAAAGAACUUUGAAAAGAGAGUUAAACAGUACGUGAAAUUGUCAAAAGGGAAGCGUUUGACACCAGUGUUGUUUUCUCGAAAAUCAAUUAAAAAGAGUUGGAUUUUGUGUUGUAUUGACUUUAUCAGCUUUCUUCACUCUUUUCCAGCUUUUUUUAAUGCACUUUUCGUUUAACAAGUCAACAUCAUGUUUCUUUUGUUGUAAAAAGGUCAUUGGAAGGUGGCUUUCUCUUCGGAGAAAGUGUUUAUAGCCUUUGACUCAUGCAAUCGGAGAGACUGAGGUCUGCAGCGUAGAUCCUUCGGGGUUAGAUACAUUUGUGCUAAGUUAUAGCUUUUCAUAGACAACUUGUUGACUAUGUUUAGUCUUGUAGCUUACUCGCUUAUGCUAUUUUACCUACGCUUAGGAUGUUGAACUCUAUCACACACAG